Molecule: ribosomal RNA, 450 nt
Filed under: uncultured bacterium
Lineage: Bacteria
Description: bacterial SSU rRNA
Rfam family: Bacterial small subunit ribosomal RNA
Source: RNAcentral
CAAUGGAGGAAACUCUGACGCAGUGACGCCGCGUGCAGGAAGAAGGUUUUCGGAUUGUAAACUGCUUUAGACAGGGAAGAAAAAGGACAGUACCUGUAGAAUAAGCUCCGGCUAACUACGUGCCAGCAGCCGCGGUAAUACGUAGGGAGCAAGCGUUAUCCGGAUUUAUUGGGUGUAAAGGGUGCGUAGACGGGAAAUCAAGUUGGUUGUGAAAUCCCUCGGCUUAACUGAGGAACUGCAACCAAAACUAAUUUUCUUGAGUGCUGGAGAGGAAAGUGGAAUUCCUAGUGUAGCGGUGAAAUGCGUAGAUAUUAGGAGGAACACCAGUGGCGAAGGCGACUUUCUGGACAGUAACUGACGUUGAGGCACGAAAGUGUGGGGAGCAAACAGGAUUAGAUACCCUGGUAGUCCACACCGUAAACGAUGGAUACUAGGUGUAGGAGGUAUUAA